CAGAAUCUAGUUUAUUCUAUUAAAAGUUAAAACAACAACAUGACCUAUUGAUAUAUGUGUAGUCCAACUAUUUUAAUUCAAUUAUUAAAACUUCUUAUUAAUCAUUUAAGAUAAAUAUUAUACAAAAAAAACACAAAUAUGGUUAAAAAUACAAAAAUGAAAAAUUAAAUUUGUAAAAAAAUAUAAAAUAAAAAAUAUAUCCACUCUUUUAAGGACAUGUCAGAAUCUAGUGAACAAUUAAAUUAUCGAAUGUAUGUUUGUAGUUUAUAACAUUUUGAGAAUUUCUUUACCUUUCGUCAGAGAUAAAGAUGCUAGCAAAAAAAGUUUUAAUAUUUCUGUCAAAGAAUAUGUAUAAGUACGUGACAGUGGAAGCUUUAAAAUAUUUUUUCUUCAGCUGAACAACCUAAAUAUGAUGAUAUUGUAUGAGAAGUAUCAUAUAUUAUUGUUUCCAUUGAUCAUUUUCUGUAAUAGGUAGUUGUGACUCGUGAAUUUUUGUUAGUUGUUAAUCAUCAUAGGCUUCUAUUCAAUCCAUGCGACAUUUCAUGCAAUGGAAUAUUAUUAUUCUCCGCGUGCCUUAAAGCACCUUUAUCCCAGUUUCUGUUGGAGGUUUUAAAAGUUAAUGGUACAUUUAAUUAAAUGAAAAGAAAUUAAAUGAAAAGAAAUUAAAUUGUAUGUAACCGAUAGGGGGAUUUUUGGAACCACUUACAAAGUGGGCUCUAUGUGCACAUGUCAGCUAGCUAGGAGUGGAUGAUUUAUUAAUGUUUUUUUUCCUCCUCUCUUUCUUUUUUCGUCUUCUCCGUUUCUCUCUUCUCCCGUGUUCUCCGAAGGACGAGGAGUCUGAUCCGUCGCUAAGCUGAUGCCAUCCUCCGCGUGCAAUCUCAUCGCCUUCUUCUCUAGCUAUUCUGUCAGCCCAAAUUCGAUCUCCACUUUCCUUCUCCAGCUACACUCCCAAAACUCUAGUAUUCUCCAGAACCAGAAUACAUUAUCUUCCUUCUUCUGUGUUUGCUUCCCAUCGACCCCGCAAUUUCAUCAACGUGGGUUUGUUCAGGGGAUCCUUUCGUUGUUGUGGAUCUUGAAGCCUUUGUCGAGGUAAAGAUUCAUGCUUUAGUCUUGUUGGAGGCUUAAUUAGGAGCGGAUUGUUUUGUUGCUAAUUAACUGAUUUAGUAUUGUGGGAGGUUUAAAUUGAUUGAGAUGUAUCUUCGUAUUUGGGUUAACUGACUUUUGUUGAAGAAUGUAUAUGUCAUAGUUAAGAGCUUUGUGUAAUGAGUUGUUCUAGUGAAUGAUCUCUGUUAAGUAAUUCUUUUUAAUGUCUUGAUAGUUCUUCAAGGCUUCUAUUCGUGUGUGUAUUUGCCUAAUAGAAUAGCAUCAUCUUGAAGCUCUUAUGCUCGUUCUGUUUCGCUUGUCUAUUCGUGUGUGUAUUCGUUUGUGUAUUUGCAUAAUAGAAUAACAUCAUCUUGAAGCUCUUAUCAGAUCUCUGUCUUUAACUUAACCUUGUACAUAGAUUAUUCAUUCUGUUCAUUAAUUCCUUUUAAUGUCUUCAUUCUUUUGCGAGUCCUCUAUUGGUGGUUGAGAUUAUUGUGGCAUAGGAUAAAACACAUCACCUGUCUUGGAGAAGCAACCAUUACCGGUGCCUCUCGGUGAGCAGGUAACAUGACACAAGACGGGAGCUUGGGUGUGGAAGUCAUGUUUUGUUUCUGAAGUCUUGUUUGAAGUGAGAACACGAGUCACCGACGUGGGGGUCAUGUUUGAAGUCAUGUUUGAUCAUGGACUGAAAUGAGCUUUUUGAAGUCAUGUUUGAUCACAGACUGAAAUGAUCUCUUGUUUGAUUGUGUAAUGUAUUUGCUUUAUGUGUCACGGACUGAAAUGGUCUUGUAAAGUCUCGUGUAAUGUAUUUGUUUGAUUGUCUGUAAAAUGUUUUGUAAGUUUAUGUCACGGACUUGGUAAUCAAACGUCAGCUUGUCUCUUA
This is a long non-coding RNA of Brassica napus (rape), 1966 nucleotides long. RefSeq lists it as uncharacterized. The transcript is spliced from 3 exons. Lineage: Eukaryota; Viridiplantae; Streptophyta; Magnoliopsida; Brassicales; Brassicaceae. The record is from RefSeq and is a predicted model, not a curated record.